RNAcentral lists this ribosomal RNA (324 nucleotides) under uncultured eukaryote. Its description in RNAcentral is "partial 18S ribosomal RNA". It matches the Rfam family "Eukaryotic small subunit ribosomal RNA", at positions 1470 to 1796 of the family's 1831-position model. The record is from RNAcentral.
CCCUUAGAUGUCCUGGGCUGCACGCGCGCUACACUGAUGUGUCCAGUAAGCACCUAACCUCUUCCGAAAGGAACGGGUAACCUUUGCAAAGCACAUCGUGAUGGGGAUAGAUUAUUGCAAUUAUUAGUCUUGAACGAGGAAUUCCUAGUAAGCACAAGUCAUCAGCUUGUGUUGAUUACGUCCCUGCCCUUUGUACACACCGCCCGUCGCUCCUACCGAUUGAAUGUUCCGGUGAGGUCUUCGGACUGCGCGGUCUGCAGUUUCUGCGUUCCGUGCGGAAAGUUGCGCAAACCUUAACAUUUAGAGGAAGGAGAAGUCGUAACA